RNAcentral lists this ribosomal RNA (230 nucleotides) under uncultured bacterium. RNAcentral's name for it is "partial 16S ribosomal RNA". It matches the Rfam family "Bacterial small subunit ribosomal RNA", at positions 28 to 259 of the family's 1533-position model. The record is from RNAcentral.
GACGAACGCUGGCGGCGUGCUCAACACAUGCAAGUCGAGCGGUAAGGCCCUUUCGGGGGUACGACGAGCGGCGAACGGGUGAGUAACACGUGGGUGACCUGCCCUCAGCUCUGGGAUAAGCCUGGGAAACCGGGUCUAUACCGGAUAUGACUCCAUGACGCAUGUUGUGGGGUGGAAAGCCUUGUGCGGCUGAGGAUGGGCCCGCGGCCUAUCAGCUUGUUGGUGGGGGU